Molecule: non-coding RNA, 100 nt
Organism: Acanthosepion pharaonis
Lineage: Eukaryota; Metazoa; Mollusca; Cephalopoda; Sepiida; Sepiidae
Source: the annotation of a GenBank genome assembly
CAUUCAGAAAACACCAGUUUUUAUUUGAUCACCAAAGUUAAGCAGUUUUGAGCCCGGCCAGUACUUAGAUAGGGGAUCGCUUGGGAACACCCAAUACUGU